AAAAGAAGUAAAGGGCUGGAUGCUGUUUUUAAUCCUCUAAAUCUCUCCUACAGAACAGCUGCUUCCGGUGGCGUCUUUGGAGUCUAAUGUUGUCACAUACUGUGCAGCAGUAGAUGGUGGUUAAGUCGUAAGGCGUGUGCUUUAACAUCCAAUCACUGCAGGUUUGAGACCCAACAUGGCAUCCAAGUGUGGAGGCUGUUAUCUUUGAGCACUCGAGUAUCUUGGAUGCUGCUGAAGCUGCUGCUGCACAGGAGGCCGUGGACGUAGACUCUAAAGGUGAACCGAGGACUUCCACUUCAGCUGGUCCAAGAAGGCAAAGUAUCAAAGAAGGCGAGAUGGACCGAAUGUUACUGCUAAUGCAGGAACGAGUGGAGGAGAGUCGGGCCCGCAUGGAAGAACUGCAAAUGUGUAAAGAGCAGCACCCCAGCACAGCUAGGAACGCCUUCGCAGCCUAUGUCCGGGACUCCUUAAACACCAUGUCGGAAUGGAGCUACAGAAAAGCAAAGGAUGAAAUCUGCCGCGUGUUGACAAAAUAUGAAAAAGGGGCUGAAGAGGAUCGGGUCAAGCAACAACAGAAGUUCCAUCAGCAUCCACCUCACCACCACACAAAGCCACGACACACUGUCCUGCCUAUCCGAGGACUGCAGCCGCUCCUGUCCUGUCUUUCUACAAACACAUCUGAAGUCCAGCAGCUGGGGGACACGUUGAAACUACAGCUAAC
Molecule: long non-coding RNA, 721 nt
Organism: Thalassophryne amazonica
Lineage: Eukaryota; Metazoa; Chordata; Actinopteri; Batrachoidiformes; Batrachoididae
Exons: 4
Source: RefSeq, a predicted model, not a curated record